AGUGAACGCUGGCGGCGUGCUUAGCACAUGCAAGUCGAACGAGAACGGGCUAUAGCUUGCUAUAGUUGUCAGCUAAGUGGCGCACGGGUGAGUAAUGUAUAGGUAAUGUGCCUCUUACUAAGGGAUAACAAAUGGAAACGUUUGCUAAUACCUUAUACUCCUUAUUAACAGAAGUUAAUAAGGGAAAGAUUUAUUGGUAAGAGAUUAGCCUGUAUUGUAUCAGUUAGUUGGUGGGGUAAUGGCUUACCAAGACUAUGACACAUAACUGGUUAGAGAGGAUGAUCAGUCACACUGGAACUGAGGCACGGUCCAGACUCCUACGGGAGGCAGCAGUGGGGAAUAUUGCACAAUGGACGAAAGUCUGAUGCAGCAACGCCGCGUGGAGGAUGACACAUUUCGGUGCGUAAACUCCUUUUAUAUGAGAAGAUAAUGACGGUAUUAUAUGAAUAAGCACCGGCUAACUCCGUGCCAGCCGCCGCGGUAA
RNAcentral lists this ribosomal RNA (484 nucleotides) under uncultured bacterium. RNAcentral's name for it is "partial 16S ribosomal RNA". It matches the Rfam family "Bacterial small subunit ribosomal RNA", at positions 29 to 523 of the family's 1533-position model. The record is from RNAcentral.